Molecule: small nucleolar RNA, 331 nt
Rfam family: Fungal small nucleolar RNA U3
About the family: Small nucleolar RNAs (snoRNAs) are involved in the processing and modification of rRNA in the nucleolus. There are two main classes of snoRNAs: the box C/D class, and the box H/ACA class.
UAACACAUUCAACAGUAGGAUCAUUUCUAUAGGAAUCGUCACUCUUUGACUCUUCAAAAGAGCCACUGAAUCCAACUUGGUUGAUGAGCCCAUAACCUUUGUACCCUAGAGUGAGAAAUUGAAAUUAAUCUAAAUUAGCUUGGUCCGCAAUCCUUAGCGGUUCGGCCAUCUAUAAUUUUUAACAAAUUUUGCUUUGCCGUUGCAUUUGUAAUUUCUUCCUUUGGAAGCUUUUACGAUCUUUAAUGGCGCGAUGAUCUUGACCCAUCCUAUGUACUUCCUUUUUGGAAGGGAUAGGGCUUCAUGGGUGGGUACAAAUGGCAGUCUGACAAGU